RNAcentral lists this ribosomal RNA (116 nucleotides) under Pogona vitticeps (central bearded dragon). Lineage: Eukaryota; Metazoa; Chordata; Lepidosauria; Squamata; Agamidae. The record is from RNAcentral.
CUUUACAUCUAUUGCUUUGAAAGUGUAUGAUCCCAUCAGAUUUCAGAAGGUAAGCAGGUUGGGGCUGGUGAAUACUUGGAUGGGAAGCUCACAGGAAUCUUUAGAUGGGGCCAGGA